RNAcentral lists this ribosomal RNA (696 nucleotides) under Microbispora sp. TF4. RNAcentral describes it as "bacterial SSU rRNA". It matches the Rfam family "Bacterial small subunit ribosomal RNA", at positions 42 to 759 of the family's 1533-position model. The record is from RNAcentral. Lineage: Bacteria; Bacillati; Actinomycetota; Actinomycetes; Streptosporangiales; Streptosporangiaceae.
GCGUGCUUACACAUGCAAGUCGAGCGGAAAGGCCCUUCGGGGUACUCGAGCGGCGAACGGGUGAGUAACACGUGAGUAACCUGCCCCUGACUCUGGGAUAAGCCUGGGAAACCGGGUCUAAUACCGGAUACGACACUCCUCCGCAUGGUGUGGGUGUGGAAAGUUUUUUCGGUCGGGGAUGGGCUCGCGGCCUAUCAGCUUGUUGGUGGGGUGAUGGCCUACCAAGGCGACGACGGGUAGCCGGCCUGAGAGGGCGACCGGCCACACUGGGACUGAGACACGGCCCAGACUCCUACGGGAGGCAGCAGUGGGGAAUAUUGCGCAAUGGGCGGAAGCCUGACGCAGCGACGCCGCGUGGGGGAUGACGGCCUUCGGGUUGUAAACCUCUUUCAGCAGGGACGAAGUUGACGUGUACCUGUAGAAGAAGCGCCGGCUAACUACGUGCCAGCAGCCGCGGUAAUACGUAGGGCGCGAGCGUUGUCCGGAAUUAUUGGGCGUAAAGAGCUCGUAGGUGGCUUGUCGCGUCUGCCGUGAAAGCCCGUGGCUUAACUACGGGUCUGCGGUGGAUACGGGCAGGCUAGAGGCUGGUAGGGGCAAGCGGAAUUCCUGGUGUAGCGGUGAAAUGCGCAGAUAUCAGGAGGAACACCGGUGGCGAAGGCGGCUUGCUGGGCCAGUUCUGACGCUGAGGAGCGAACG